GGGUUGUGAGGUUAAGCGACUAAGCGUACACGGUGGAUGCCCUGGCAGUCAGAGGCGAUGAAGGGCGUGCUAAUCUGCGAUAAGCGCCGGUAAGGUGAUAUGAACCGUUAUAACCGGCGAUACCCGAAUGGGGAAACCCAGUGUGAUUCGUCACACUAUCAUUAACUGAAUCCAUAGGUUAAUGAGGCGAACCGGGGGAACUGAAACAUCUAAGUACCCCGAGGAAAAGAAAUCAACCGAGAUUCCCCCAGUAGCGGCGAGCGAACGGGGAGGAGCCCAGAGCCUGAAUCAGCAUGUGUGUUAGUGGAAGCGUCUGGAAAGGCGCGCGAUACAGGGUGACAGCCCCGUACACAAAAGCGCAUGUGCUGUGAGCUCGAUGAGUAGGGCGGGACACGUGGUAUCCUGUCUGAAUAUGGGGGGACCAUCCUCCAAGGCUAAAUACUCCUGACUGACCGAUAGUGAACCAGUACCGUGAGGGAAAGGCGAAAAGAACCCCGGCGAGGGGAGUGAAAAAGAACCUGAAACCGUGUACGUACAAGCAGUGGGAGCACCCUUUGGGUGUGACUGCGUACCUUUUGUAUAAUGGGUCAGCGACUUAUAUUCUGUAGCAAGGUUAACCGAAUAGGGGAGCCGGAGGGAAACCGAGUCUUAACCGGGCGUUAAGUUGCAGGGUAUAGACCCGAAACCCGGUGAUCUAGCCAUGGGCAGGUUGAAGGUUGGGUAACACUAACUGGAGGACCGAACCGACUAAUGUUGAAAAAUUAGCGGAUGACCUGUGGCUGGGGGUGAAAGGCCAAUCAAACCGGGAGAUAGCUGGUUCUCCCCGAAAGCUAUUUAGGUAGCGCCUCGUGAAUUCAUCUCCGGGGGUAGAGCACUGUUUCGGCUAGGGGGCCAUCCCGGCUUACCAACCCGAUGCAAACUGCGAAUACCGGAGAAUGUUAUCACGGGAGACACACGGCGGGUGCUAACGUCCGUCGUGAAGAGGGAAACAACCCAGACCGCCAGCUAAGGUCCCAAAGUCAUGGUUAAGUGGGAAACGAUGUGGGAAGGCCCAGACAGCCAGGAUGUUGGCUUAGAAGCAGCCAUCAUUUAAAGAAAGCGUAAUAGCUCACUGGUCGAGUCGGCCUGCGCGGAAGAUGUAACGGGGCUAAACCAUGCACCGAAGCUGCGGCAGCGACACUGUGUGUUGUUGGGUAGGGGAGCGUUCUGUAAGCCUGUGAAGGUGUGUCGUGAGGCAUGCUGGAGGUAUCAGAAGUGCGAAUGCUGACAUAAGUA
RNAcentral lists this ribosomal RNA (1275 nucleotides) under Salmonella enterica subsp. enterica. RNAcentral's name for it is "partial 23S ribosomal RNA". It matches the Rfam family "Bacterial large subunit ribosomal RNA", at positions 1 to 1308 of the family's 2925-position model. RNAcentral also lists the same sequence under 1 other name. Lineage: Bacteria; Pseudomonadati; Pseudomonadota; Gammaproteobacteria; Enterobacterales; Enterobacteriaceae. The record is from RNAcentral.